GAUCAUGGCUCAGGAUGAACGCUAGCGACAGGCCUAACACAUGCAAGUCGAGGGGCAGCGGAGAGGUAGCAAUACCUUUGCCGGCGACCGGCGCACGGGUGAGUAACACGUAUGCAAUUCACCUGUAACAGGGGGAUAACCCGGAGAAAUCCGGACUAAUACCCCAUAAUAUGGGCUCUCCGCAUGGAGAGCCCAUUAAAGGGAGCAAUUUUGGUUACAGACGAGCAUGCGCUCCA
RNAcentral lists this ribosomal RNA (236 nucleotides) under uncultured bacterium. RNAcentral's name for it is "partial 16S ribosomal RNA". It matches the Rfam family "Bacterial small subunit ribosomal RNA", at positions 15 to 240 of the family's 1533-position model. The record is from RNAcentral.